UGCUCGAACUUUUAAAUAUAAUAUACAAAUACCUUUCGUUAUACUACAGAGACACUAAUGCCCCUGCCAUCUAAAAAAGGGCACAUUUAUAUCCUUCACACUAACGGACGGACACGUGGCAUCAUCCUAUUCCUCUACCGAUUUUAACCCAAAAAUAAGAACCCACCCGAAUUAAUGAAAAAACCGCCCAAAUAUUCUAUACCCACCCAUUUACUAAUUUCUUAAUAAUAUACCCAAAUCAAAAUCCCCCCAAAUUCUCGAUGAAUCCAUAUGGCGCCGAUGCCGCUAUUAACAGCGGCGUAAUUAGUCCGCUUGGUCGAGUUUGUUAAAUUUGUAGAAAGGGAAAGGGGAUGAGUAAUUCAGAGAGCUUUCCGUUGGCUUCUGGUCAUUUCUCCAUUUUUUUCUUCCAAUUGUGUAAUGAGUUUCUUAGUAUGACAUCUUAUUUGAGCUCUAAAUCUUGUUGAAAUUUUAUUAUGUGUUGUAGUAUUGAGGUUUUAAUUUUGAUAUAUGGUGAUUGAUUGAUAAAGAGUUUUUUUUUUACAUGUUUAUGUGUAAAGAUUUUAUAUUUUCAGCUCAUUUAGUGUAAAUUUGAAAAUAAAAUUUGAUAGAUAGUGUAAUGGGUUCUCUAGCAAA
This is a long non-coding RNA of Solanum lycopersicum (tomato), 633 nucleotides long. RefSeq lists it as uncharacterized. The record is from RefSeq and is a predicted model, not a curated record. Lineage: Eukaryota; Viridiplantae; Streptophyta; Magnoliopsida; Solanales; Solanaceae.